Molecule: ribosomal RNA, 259 nt
Filed under: uncultured bacterium
Lineage: Bacteria
Description: partial 16S ribosomal RNA
Rfam family: Bacterial small subunit ribosomal RNA
Source: RNAcentral
CACGGGGGGGCAAGCGUUGUUCGGAAUUACUGGGCGUAAAGGCUCGUAGGCGGCCAACUAAGUCGGACGUGAAAUCCCCAGGCUCAACCUGGGAACUGGCGUCCUGAUACUGGAUGGCGUUGAAUCCGGGAGAGGGAUGCAGGAAUUCCAGGUGUAGCGGUGAAAUGACGUAGAUAUCUGGAGGAAUACCGGUGGCGAAGGCGGCAUCCUGGACCGGCUAUUGACGCUGAGGAGCGAAAAGCCAGGGGAGCAAAGCGGG